CAGCAGCCACGGGAAUACAGAGGGUGCAAGCGUUAAUCGGAUUUACUGGGCGUAAAGGGCGCAUAGGUGGUUAUGUAAGUGAGAUGUGAAAUCCCCGGGCUCAACCUGGGAACUGCAUCUUAUACUGCGUAGCUGGAGUGCAGUAGAGGGUAGUGGAAUUUCCGGUGUAGCGGUGAAAUGCGUAGAUAUCAGAAGGAACACCAGUGGCGAAGGCGGCUACCUGGACUGACACUGACACUGAGGCGCGAAAGCGUGGGGAGCAAACAGGAUUAGAUACCCCCGUAGUCCCUGUCUCUUAUAC
Molecule: ribosomal RNA, 301 nt
Filed under: uncultured bacterium
Lineage: Bacteria
Description: partial 16S ribosomal RNA
Rfam family: Bacterial small subunit ribosomal RNA
Source: RNAcentral